This is an RNA transcript of Drosophila montana, 487 nucleotides long. It is a transcript of the gene named bomanin Short 6-like, with no coding region annotated. NCBI's taxonomy places the organism in Eukaryota, Metazoa, Arthropoda, Insecta, Diptera, Drosophilidae. The record is from RefSeq and is a predicted model, not a curated record. The transcript is spliced from 3 exons.
UGUGCACGGGAUCAAGAAAUAUAAUUUUCUUUAUAUAUAGAGACAUAUGUUAUGUCGAAAGCAACGAUCAAGGCAAUUUGUUAACAGAUUAGCUCAAAGUAGAACAAAGCCUUAGGCCAGCUGUAAGUCUCGUUUUGCAUGGACUUAGCAAGUGCGCAUUUGCCAACCAUGUUUAUCAAUAAAAAAAUAUAAUAACAAUAUUAUUACAGACAAUACUAGACGGUUAUAUCAGUUGAUUAGUCUAUAAAAGCGGCUUGUAGACCUUCGCUCACGAUCAGUUUCAACGGGCGAGUCGCAUUUGGAGCUUAUUGCAAUUAUGAAGUGGUUUUCGCUGGCUUUCGUCAUGGCUCUGCUCGCGCUGGCAAGCGCCAAUCCGCUGCAGCCGGGCCAUGUGAUCAUCAAUGGGGACUGCAAAGUAUGCAACGUACGCGGCGAUUAAUAGAUUGUUAAGAAAACUUAAAAAAAUAAAUAACCAGCUCUUGUUUAA